RNAcentral lists this ribosomal RNA (253 nucleotides) under uncultured bacterium. Its description in RNAcentral is "partial 16S ribosomal RNA". It matches the Rfam family "Bacterial small subunit ribosomal RNA", at positions 524 to 776 of the family's 1533-position model. The record is from RNAcentral.
UACAGAGGUCUCAAGCGUUGUUCGGAUUCAUUGGGCGUAAAGGGCGCGUAGGCGGCGCGGUAAGUCGGGUGUGAAAUCUUGGAGCUUAACUCCGAAACUGCAUUCGAUACUGGCGUGCUUGAGGACUGGAGAGGAGACUGGAAUUUACGGUGUAGCGGUGAAAUGCGUAGAUAUCGUAAGGAAGACCAGUGGCGAAGGCGGGUCUCUGGACAGUUCCUGACGCUGAGGCACGAAGGCCAGGGGAGCAAACGGG